RNAcentral lists this ribosomal RNA (157 nucleotides) under Fusarium equiseti. RNAcentral describes it as "5.8S ribosomal RNA". It matches the Rfam family "5.8S ribosomal RNA". Rfam says of the family: 5.8S ribosomal RNA (5.8S rRNA) is a component of the large subunit of the eukaryotic ribosome. It is transcribed by RNA polymerase I as part of the 45S precursor that also contains 18S and 28S rRNA. Lineage: Eukaryota; Fungi; Ascomycota; Sordariomycetes; Hypocreales; Nectriaceae. The record is from RNAcentral.
AACUUUCAACAACGGAUCUCUUGGUUCUGGCAUCAAUGAAGAACGCAGCAAAAUGCGAUAAGUAAUGUGAAUUGCAGAAUUCAGUGAAUCAUCGAAUCUUUGAACGCACAUUGCGCCCGCCAGUAUUCUGGCGGGCAUGCCUGUUCGAGCGUCAUUU